AGGUCCUAAAACCUUGAAAACUCAGGUCAGAUGAGGUGAACUGGCAAGUCCUGUCCCAGAUUAGCUACCUCACAACUAAACUAGGCUAAGAAAGAAAAAAAAUCCGCAAGUUUCCUUGCUGUGAAUUGAGAGCUACUGAAGAACUCCAAACAAGAUCAUUUGUGUGCGGAACAAAGGCUGCAUUUAGUACCAAGGUACAGUAGCACAAAAGAGUUAAUGCCAGAACUUCAGAAAGCCUAUUAUGAAUCUGUGAAAUGUCACAACUCCUUUGCAGUCUGCGAAACACUUUAUUUCCUUUUCCUUCUAAAACAUCAUUAUGCUUCAGUAGGCAUCGCAGAGUUGAAAGUAAUGGAAUGAGAUCAACAUCGCUGUUCUUUUCAGCUAGCGCUACUUUUUCCCUCUGAGAAAUUAAUCAGGGUGUGUGUGUUUUAAUACAGGAUUUCUUUAAAUACAGCACAUUUUAUAUUUGGCGUUAUGUCCUCAUUGCAGAUGGACUGGCAAUAUUGUGCCUGGGUUCUUCAAUAAUGGAAUGGGAUCAGAAGUAGUGUUACUUCAAGAAUGUAAUGCCUCUGAACCAUCUCUUUGACCAUCUGCCAGAGAUCCUUUAGCUAUGAUUCCUGCAUUGCAGGAGGUUGGACUAGAUGAUUCUUGGGAUCCCUUCCAAUUCUACAGUUCUGUAAUUCUCUGGCAAAAUACCAUUACCAAGGCCCUGCUGAUGAUAGCACAAACACCAUGGCAUUGAUAGCUAAAUAACACAUGUAGUUGGAUAAAAACCCGUAAUGCCAGUUCAAACCACAGGUGAUAGAAUUGAAUUUCCUGAUAAAUGGCCGUUCAGUUGACAAUGAAGCUUUUCCCCAUUUGCAAGGUAUUACUUGUAUUUUUCACAAACCCAAUUGCCACGCAAGCAUGAAUACUAUACUUCACCUGUUUGGUGUAUUACAGUAUUUUAAUAUUUUUUUGGAAGCCACCCAGAGUGGCUGGGGAAGCCCAGCCAGAUGGGCAGGGUAUAAAUUAUUAUUAUUAUUAUUAUUAUUAUUAUUAUUAUUAUUAUUAUCUCUCUUGUUUAUGAAGCUACGUCAUGCAACAUGUGACCGCAAAGGGCAAUGAAAAAUGAGAGAGCCAUGCAAUGGGUGGUGCUUGACUUUUACCAAUAAUGUACACUUGUAUGCACAGCUCUGCACUUAUGCAGAGAGCUCCUGCAGGUUAAUGGAAAUAAUGCAGAAGGCAGAAGGGCAAUGCCAGUGAAUCAUUUUGGAAGACGAGUGGGUGAACCCUCUCUCCAUGUUGUGAGCAACAGGAUUAGGUCCUGCAAUAGUGUUGCCUGCGUAGAUUUACGGAGAUAGAGCAGGGAUCUGGGUUUGCCGGAGGUUCUGGUCCCUGUGUUUGUGGCUCUGUUUUGUGAGCUGCUGCUGGUUUCUGAUCGGGAGGCUGUCUGUAAGCAACGGCAGACCUGUCACCAGCGUGGUGGGGCUUUGCCACUCACCUGACCUCCAUAUAGCUGAGUCACAGCAGGACAGAGAAGAGGAGGGGUGCAAUGGUGAGGCCGGUGCGGUGCAAACAAACCAGCGGCGUCAAUCUGGAGCUCCUGCUGUUGUGUUUGCACCUUACUUGUUUAUUUAAUUUAUCAAUCAAAUGUGUAUACUACUCUUAAAUAAGAGAUCCCAGGGUGGCUCACAGAAUAAAAUACAAAAUAAAAAAACCAGCAAAUAAUUAAACCAAAAUAACAAAACAAUAUCCUCUCCCCUUCCCACAGAUACAUUUAAAAGGCUGUUGGAUAUUAAUCAGACAAAGGCCAGAUUGAAGAGGAACGUUUUCACCUGGCACCUAAAAACAUAUAAUGAAUAUAGAAUAAUAUAUAAUGAAGGCGCCAGGCGAACCUCCCUGAGACGUCCGUUCCACUGUCAGACAGCUCUUACUGCCAGAAAGUCCUUCCUGAUGUUGAUUCGGAAUCUCUUUUCUUGUACAGUGGUACCUCGGGUUAAGAACUUAAUUUGUUCCGGAGGUCUGUUCUUAACCUGAAACUGUUCUUAACCUGAAGCACCACUUUAGCUAAUGGGGCCUCCUGCUGCUGCUGCACCGCCGGAGCACGAUUUCUGUCCUCAUCCUGAAGCAAAACUCUUAACCUGAGGUACUAUUUCUGGGUUAGCGGAGUCUGUAACCUGAAGCGUCUGUAACCUGAAGUGUAUGUAACCCGAGGUACCACUGUAACUUGAAGCCAUUGGAUAAGGUCCUACACUCUGGAGCAAGAGAAAACGAGCUUGCUCCAUCUUCCAUAAGACAGCCCUUGAGAUAUUUGAAGGUGGCUAUCAUAUCUCCUCUGAGUCUCCUCUUUUCCAGGCUAAACAUACCCAGCUCUGUCAACCAUUCCUCCUAAAGCUUGGUUUCCAGACCCUUGAUCAUCUUGGUUGCCCUCCUCUGCACUCGUUCCAGAUUGUCAAUGACUAGCAGGUGGCUAGGGUUUGCAGGGACGGACCCAGAAAGUUGGAUUGAGGGAUGUGGUGGGUCAGAUUAUGCUCACAGCCCGAAGGUUUCCACCCCGCUGGAGAUCAUUGGUGCUGUAUUUGUCAACCACCUAAGUAAAUAAAAAGUUUGGAAGCAACUUGGAAGCAACAGCCUUUAGUUUCAAAAUGACAGUCCUCAGUGGUGAUGUUCUCCUCUGAGAUACUUGCCUCAAACAGGCAUGAGGGUGAGAGUUCAGCAACACUUGCAAACUUUGACUAGCCGCUGUGGGAUUAUUUCUUUGAAGCUGGACUCUGCCAGGUCUGAUGUUAAUUAUCAAAGGCAGAGGAGGUCAGCAAAGGCAUUGACACCUAUCUGGAGGUGAUGAUGCUUAAUCAUCACCACUUACUGAACACUUGAAUUGGGCUGCCGGUUGAAGGCAGUUUCUUGGAGACAAUAGGUAUGUCAGACCUCCUUGGGACACUUUUUGCUGUUUCCUAGAAUGUGAUUACGUUCGCCCCGCUUUGGGAGAAUCUUGAGGUCAGUUUUAAUUUAGAGAUAACUACUGGAUCAAAAACUAUAGCCAAAAAAGCUGUUCUAUCUCACUUAUCCCCACAGAAUGAAAAUGUCUAGAGUUACCCUGAGGGGAAUGAAUGAGUAUUACGCCAUCUUAAACUCUGGGCUCCAGAUGUUUGCUGGACCCCAAUAUUGACAAUAUCAGAAGUUCCAAAAUGUGCUGACCCUUUGCCUAGGAAGGGAUUUGUGUGAUGUAGCUAGCAGCCAAUAAUUGUUGAGUUCUAUGCAACAUCCAGAAGCAAUGAGAAUUGGAAAAAUAAAAUGUUCCCAGGAUCUAUUUUCCACUUUAUCAACACCAUUUCCAACCAAGCAAGCUUGCUUCUCGGUGAUUGCAAAGACCUUUGCGUGGACAGGCGGAGUCCCCCAAACCCUGGGCAGCCCCAUGUGGAAUAACAACGUGCUAUGGGAUUAAAAUUGGCCACAACCUUAUUAUGUUUCAGACGUGGGUAGACCUUGGCUCAGGCAUUGGGCGUUUAUCCCUCCCAGUCCCCCACCGGGGAUCUGGGGAACAUCUGGGUUAUCCAGUGGGGGGGAUGGGCUGGCUCUGGAGAACAUAUGUUCAAGCAGAGAGAGCCCGCCCUCAUUACGCUGCCGUCGCAGGGGAGAGCAAUGACGACCUCUAGGCGUACAGACAAAGCCUCCCCUCAAACAACCCCUUUAAUGGGGAACCCUGGUAUCACCACCACAAAGAGGAGGGGGCGUGGGUCACCGCUGCACACGCCCCCCCCCCCAUUCAGGGAAGAUAGACUAAAGGAUUCCGCCCAAGCCCUGAUACCGCCAAAGUUGUGACAUUUUGCUAUGGGAAAGGCAAACCUGCCAAUGCAGGGGAAUUCCCUUCCGGCCCUUCAACAGCGACCCUGACGUAGCAGCGCCUGCGUACCGGUAGAGAAAAGGUUAACUUGCAAAAGAAGUCUUAACUGAGGGUGGGUAGGGUGGGAGAAGCUCUGGAGCCAACUGAUGUUUCCCAGGUAAGAUCCUCCCCCUAUUGUGUGGGCAGGUAGUCCCUCCCCCUACCUGACCUGAUAACCUAGGCAACGCUUCCCCAGGCGGGAUUGGGCAACUGACUGAGGUAGGUGGAGACCUCCAGGUAUCCCACCUGGGGGGAGGCGAAGCCAAGCCUCUGCUAAUGGAGCUGCAUAGGGUCCAGGGGCUGUGUGCGACCACGCAAAGGGCGCCCCCAUUUAAUGUGGGGAGCAGUCAUUGUUGCUUUCAUUCUCUGCUUUGCAAAGGACUCAUCGGUAUAUUUAAAAGAAAGUGCUGAACCUGCUGUCUCUGCACUCUUGUUUUUUUCAUUGCCAAAAAGCUAGCCUGUCAUGAAUCUGAUAGAGGUCCGUCUGCUAUGCAGAAUAGAUCAAUCAUGGCUCCAUCAGGGAAAGCAUUUAUUUUUGGAACAAAGGAAGGAUAACAAAUUGAAUCAGAAACUCAUCAUAUACUGGAGCCAUUGACACUUGUUGUCAGCAUGUAACUUUUACUAAACAUGGUAAAGGCUGGGGACCGUUUCAUCUGCUCUAAAAUCCAGACUGGAACCAUGGUGGUAGUGUUUCCAGAGUGAAUCCAGAACCUGCUGCUUUUUAGCAAGUUCUAGUCCAGGUCCAGAAGUAAAGGAAUGCCUUCUGUGAAAGGAGGGCGAUUGAGAAGGAAAGCAAGGUUGGGGAAGGGCCUACCCAGACCUAUAUCUUAUUUGGAGGCCCUGUUCUAUGUACCAUCACCAAGAGAAGAGAAGUGGGUGCCCACCAAGAUGGGCAGUGGCACCCCAGUUAUGAAACAGCCUCCCCAAAGAGACUCACCCAGUGCCUUCUUUGUGGUCAUACUGGCAUCAUAUUAUUGUUCACCCAUUUUUUUUCUUUUAAAUCUAGCCUGUUUUAUGCAAUUUCACAUUUAAUUUGUAUACCGCUGUCAAGGCUGCCUCAAGUCUUAGCUCACAAAAGACCAACGCCUACGUCUUCUUGUAUACAAAGGUGUUUAUUGCAGUUCAUGGUUUGCUUGGCAUCCUAGGCGCGCAGCCUUACGUCUCUUACGCUAGACCGCCGAAGUCCCCUCUGAGUCAGUCCCUCCUCUGCACCAAUUUAAGAGACUUGCGCUGCUCCACCUCUUUCUCUCCUUCCUUUUCCGCAGGGUCCUUCUACCCACUGGGGUUUCCCCCCUCCUGGAUUCCUCUGAAGCGGAAUCAGACUGCUCUUCCCCCCUCCUGCGGGCUUUGGGACCUGGCCCCUCCUCCGGGCUCCCUGCACUUCCGCGCGCCUCUACAUUUGAACUAGGCGCGCGCGCCAAACCUCUAACUUUCCUUUUGACAGUUACACUACUCCCUUCACUGCUCCCCUCCCUUUCCGGGAGGGCGGCUUGCUCUGACCCCCCUCCUUUCUCUGCUGCUGGAGCUGCUUCCUCUGACACACUGGAAACUCCACCCCCUUCGCUGCACUUUGGUGGGGAGGCUGGUCCUGACGCCCAGCUGCCACUUUGGGAUCCUCCGCUGGCACCCUGCUCCUGACACUUCCCCCCUGGGGCUUCCCUGGCCUUCACCACCGGCGCCCCCUUCUGGGAAUCCUCUGAUUCGCUGGAAAGACUCAUGGAAUCCCUUGAGUCAUUGUCAUCCUCUUCCUCGCUGGCUUGGAAUUCCUCCCCCUCGCUCUCCAUCUCCUGCCUACCCUGUGCCUCUCUCCCUGAACCCCUGACAACCGCCUUCCUAUAUUACUACACACAAGGCAGUUUACAAGCUGAAAAACCAAUGAAAUGUUCUCCUUUUAUUUUUUGGUGAUCUUAAUUGUUAUGUAUUAUAUUCUCAUGUUGUUUUGCUUGUAAAUGUUCUUAUGAAUAUUUUGCAUUAUUCUAAACUGCUCUCUCUCUGUGUGUGUACACAGUUUUUUAAAUGAAUGAAUGAAUGAAUGAAUAAAUAAGCAUGCAAGCAAGCAAGGAAGGAAGGAAGGAAGGAAGCCACCCUGGGAAUAUUUACUGAAGGCCAGCUAUGUAUUAUAUGUUCAUUUAAAAAGAAGAAGAGUGGAGCCUAUCAAUAACGUCCCCCAAUAAUGUCUCCACCCCCCUCACUGAAUCAGAGGACUCGGGGUUGGUCGCUGGUAAUAUCCUAAACAUUCAUUUUAUUACUGAGCUACAAAGAUCAUGAUCUCGACUUGAUAUCUUAUGAAACUCCUUCCUUCCCCGGAGGGGGCCGCUAGGGGUGCAUUGGAAGAUGGCCGACAAUACCAUCUCUCCGGCUCACACGAGGUAAUUAAGAGGCUGAUAUGGGAGUAUGCAGUCUCCCUUGUUACCCCAAGGGAAUGGGGAACACUGCCUCGCCUGCGGUUGCCAUAAAUCACCCCCGGAUUCGAAAGAAGGGGGUGAGGGCACUAGGCGCACAACCCUCGUGUGGGACGGCUCUCCCAGACGCUGUCUCUGAUCGCGCGACCUGGUUGCAAGAGCUCAAAAUAAACAAUUAGAGAGAAGCAAAUGCACAUAUUUCGAGUGAAGAUCGGGAGAUAAGACUGCUAAUUGAAGUGACCUCUGUGAAGUGGAGCGACAGGUUGGAUUCAACAAUACAUCAAGAAGAAGAUACAUCAAAGGGUCGGUAUGUUGGAACGGGACUGAAAGGGGGGGGGCUUUUCUUUUUUUAUCUUAUGUGAGUACCUAACAAUCCUCCCCCCAAGAAGAAUCGUUGCAAUUACUGAUCAUAAGCAGGAUGAUUAAGAACUGUGUGGAAAUAAAUUACUAAUCAAAGACAUGGCAUGUGGAAUAUCUGGAAAGGAAUGAAAGGUCUUUGUGACGCAGUUAUAAAAAGAGACUCGUUAGGGCAGGCUAUAGGAUUUAUGAUCCUGAUCAAGGAGGAGGAGACCACGGCUUGUUAUUAUAUCAGACUGUGAGUUUGAUCUGGCAGAACCCCCUAAGAAGAUUGAGGAGAGACUGACAGGCCUGCAAGGAUUAAUGGGCAGACUUUAAGAAUGUUUUGUACGGAAGUGCGGAAAUGGCGUUUGUCUGUUUAAAUAUGGCUCUUGGAACGGAAAAUCCACACAGGAUAUAACAACGUUUGUUUUCAACCCACUUGUGGAGACUAUCAGAGGUCACAAAGAAAGGAAUAUAUGACAACAACAACAAGAAGAUGAGGAAAAUAAUAAAGAGAAGAUUGAACAGAACUGUGAAUACUAUCUGGACAGAACUGUGAACAUUAAAGCAGUAGCAAGAGAGAUGUUUGGAUCCCUUUCUGAGCUCGAAGAAUGGGUACCCCCAACAAAAAUUUAAAAAUUUGGCUGUGUAAUUUGGAAUCAAUGUGAUUUGAUUGGUUUGUUAAUAAAAAUUAUAUUUAAAAAAAAAAAGAAACUCUUUCCUUCCCCAUCUUUGGGCUGCAAAGAAAAAUAGACAUGUUAAAAAUUAGAGGGGAAGGAGAGAAGGGAGAGCCAAUGUAGUAUGGUGGACAGUUGUAACGAGAAACCGAGGUUGGGGGGAGAGCCACCACCUCGGCGUGGACCACCUUAAGCUUGCUGGAGGAAAGGUGACGGGCUAAAUAAGUAAAUAAUCCAGAAUAGCGAUCAAAAUGCUUCUUGGACCCAGGCAGAGGCAUAGCAAGGUCAGGUGGUAGCCGGUGCAGAAUUUUUUUUGUCACACACACCCCACACACAUUGACAGCUCGGGGUAGGCUUGGGAGUCUCAGGCAGGUGGCGCGCCAAAUGUCACCCCCCUCAGCGAUGACACCCAGGGUGGUCCACAACCCCUGCAACCCCAUUCCUAUGGCUCUGGGCCCAGGAGUGCCCAUCGCCCACCCUUGACACACUCUCUCUCUCUCAUUUCCUGCUUAAAAGAGAACAGUAAGUUCCUAAAGGUAUGCAGGUGGCGCUGUGGGUUAAACCACAGAGCCUAGGACUUGCCGAUCAGAAGGUCGGAGGUUCGAAUCCCCGUGACGGGGUGAGCUCCUGUUGCCCAGUCCCUGCUCCUGCCAACCUAGCAGUUCGAAAGCACGUCAAAGUGCAAGUAGAUAAAUAGGUACCACUCUGGCGGGAAGGUAAACGGCGUUUCCAUGCGCUGCUCUGGUUCGCCAGAAGCAGCUUAGUCAUGCUGGCCACAUGACCCGGAAGCUGUACGCCGGCUCCCUCGGCUAAUAAAGAGAGAUGAGCGCCACAACCCUAGAGUCGGUCACGACUGGACCUAAUGGUCAGGGGUCCCUUUACCUUUACCUUUAAGUUCCUAAAAUGGCAGCUGUGGGGCUGACAGCCCAAGGAUUGUUUGGAACACUAAUGGCUCCCAAGCUCUGUCUGUGACAAUUCGCUUCAAAAUCAAGGCUUUUUUGUUCCUCCAGUGAAUAAACAGUGUACCAUGUUAUUCGUCUAUGCCUGAAAGGAUAGUAAGCGCUACAAAUCCUUACAGGCCUAAGUAUAGCAAAGCAAUAGUUUUUUCUUCAUGCUUGGAGUUCCCACAAGAACUUCAGCCACAGUCUAUCGAGAAAUUGAGUGGUGACACUUCUCGGAAACGUCCAUUCAAAGCAUAGAACCACUAAUUAUGUAUUGUGCCUAAUUUGUGCCUUGCAGAAGGUAUUAUUUUGCUUAACUGAGCAAAUGCCUAUUCUAUUAUAACAAUUAUGGAUGCUACAUGCCAUGUUACAUGCUGCUAGCUGUCAAAUGCUUGAAAAGCACCAAGAGAGGUUCAUUGGUCAUCGUGCGCUCUUCUGCAGCUUGGCCUAGCGCAAGGGUGACCUGCAGAACUGGUGGAUUCCAACUCCUAUCAGCCCCAGCCAGCAUGGCCAUUGGUAAGAGAUCAUAGGAGAUGGAGUCUGCAAUCUCUAGAGGGACCAGAAUGGCUGCCCCCAGCCUAGUGGGACAUUAAUGUCAUCCAUAGGCACCAGGCAGCUUACCCAGUCUUGGCAUUUGUUGCAACACCCAUGAUUACGUGUGAAGAAAUAUCUGAGGAAAGAGAUCUUGCAAUAAUAAUAAUAAUAAUAAUAAUAAUAAUAAUAAUAAUAUAUUACUUAUAUCCCACCCAUCUGGCCAAGCCUCCCCAGCCACUCUAGGCAGCACCCAAUAGAAUACAGUGGUGCCUCGCAAGACGAAAAGAAUCCGUUCUGUGAGUCUCUUCGUCUAGCGGUUUUUUCGUCUUGCGAAGCAAGCCCAUUGACGGAUUAGCGGAUUAGCGCUAUUAGCGCUAUUAGCGGCUUUUAGCGGCUUAUCAGCUUAUCGGAUAAGCAGAUAAGCGGCUUAAUGGCUUAGAAAAAGGGGGGGGAGGGGAAAAAAACCGCAGGAACUUGCAAGACAUUUUUGUCUUGCGAAGCAAGCCCAUAGGAGCUUCGUUUUGCAAAGCACCUCCAAAAUGGAAAACUCUUUCGUCUAGCGAGUUUUCCGUCUUGCGAGGCAUUCGUCUUGUGGGGCACCACUGUAUUAAAAACACAAUAAAACAUUUUUAAAAAUUCCCUAAACAGGGCUGCCUUCAGAUAUCUUCUAAAAGUCAGAUAGUUGUUUAUUUCCUUGAUAUUUGAUGGGAGGGCGUUCCACAGGGCGGGCACCACCACCGAGAAGGCCCUCUGCCUGCUUCCCUGUAACCUCACUUCUUGCAGUGAAGGAACCACCAGAAGGCCCUUGGAGCUGGACCUCAGUGUCCGGGCUGAACAAUGGGGAUGGAGACGCUCCUUCAGGUACACUGGGUCAAGGCCAGUAUGUCACUGCAGCCCAGACAUUAAAACUCAAAGUGGUCAUAUAAGUAAAAAAAUCUUCAUCAAGAGCCCCUGAUGUUUUCUCCUACAUUCUGAGAGUGAGGUAUAUCUCAAAUGAUUAUCAAGAGAGAGAAGUCCUUUGUAGAGUUAAUGAGCAAGAUUUAAAUAUCCUGAAUAGCUCCAGAAGGGCUGCAUUUGAACUUUGAAAGUAACAGUACUGGACAGCAUGGUGGGAUGGCAAUACACACCUGGCCUCCCAACAGCUGAGUUGCUAUUGGGUAGGGGCAUGGCAACAGGGAGGCCUAUGCAGUGCGAACACACCAGUACAGCCAUUGCAGGAUGCUCCUGGUGCUGUGCUUACACCACACCAACCUCCCUGCCACCUUGCCCCUCCCAGUGAAUGAGAGAGAUGAGUUACAGCUUAAUUUGCUAGCAUCCAUAUAGUCCUUGGGAUUAUAUUGGAGCCCCGCCAGCUCCCAUCUUAGCCUGUCCAUGUAUUGUUGUUGUCUACUAAUCGUCUUCUUAGGUUGCCUGCUACCAUCAGAAGAAAACUCACAGCAUCCCUCCAGGAAAUCCUAUAUUGCAGGUCACAUGUUAUGUUCCUUAACAUGAUUGCGAACACAGUAGAAGCCUUGCCUCUAAACUAGGGCUGCCAUACAUCUGGAGUUCCCCGGACAUUACCAGGAUUUCAAAGGUGUAAUUGAUGUCUGGGGAAAAUUUCAGAAAUGUGGUGCUUUGUCCUGGAUUUUAGGCAAGUCAAUCAAAAAAAUCACACUUUUUCUGGCGUUCUUGCAACCCUACUCUAAAAGCCUCAGGAAAAAUGCAAUGAAUAUCAAAUUUAGCUUCUAUUUGACUUCAAUAGGUGAUGCUAUAAUAAUUUUCUGAUAAAAUUUAGGUGUUCACCCUCCUUCUUUAGCAGCACCCCAAGGCCCAUUAUAAUCAGUGGGGGUCCUUUUUCACUCCUGAGUUGAAGCUGCUUUGAUCUUAAUGUUAUUGUUUUUGUCUUUCUGUGAGCAUUUAAUUGUACAAGAUGUAUUUCUGCAUUAGCCAUGGUAAUUCACAUUGCUUUCCUUUCUUUUCUUUUUAAAUGGCUUUCACACAGAGGCAAACUUGGGAUGGGAGGGCAAGAGAACAAUAUAGUAAACAAGCAAUUUUUUAUGCCUGUAGCCUUUUCCUGAAGCCCUCUCAUUUCUAAUUAUGAAAACCAGUCUCUCUCACACUUUUGCCCCUAAUUCUGCCUGGUUACUUGGACUCGGUCAGAUUAGAAUGUUAGGUUUGUGACAUCACCUUCAGCUGCCAUGGCAACGCUUGGGUUGCCACCUGAGGAUUCCACAGCUUCAUGAAGGAGGAGACUAAAAGGAAGGAACUCCUUCAGAACAGUCUUUUAAAAAAAAGUGAUUAUUACUCAAUUAUUAAAUUGAUAGUCAUUUCCUUUCACAAUUUCAUGUGUUGCUUACAUCCCGCUCUUCCUUCCUGGGCAGCCAGCAAUGUAAACAGGAAUUCAAUUAAUGCAAAAUAUCAGACUAAAAAUCAAUGCAACAAAAACUCAUAUCAAAAUAUAGUAUUCAAAUGCCAAAUGCAGAUUGAAACAGUGUCAGCAAUACAGCGUACCUGGUUAAAUCUGUAAGAAUUAAUUCAGAAACAUGGCACUUUGAGAAUUUGGAGAAAUCGGAGACAUCUUAUGUAUCAAGCAACAAAUAAAUGUAACAUUUUAAAGAGGGGGUCUCCUUCUAACUUUGAUGUUUCUACCCCAUAUCCCUAUAUCCCCAUUUUUCUAACCAUAUAGGAGAGACCAGUCACAUGUGCCUUUCCCUCCCAAUCAGAACCCUGAUGGAAGAGUAGAUGCUAAUCAGGUGGGAGAUUCAGGUAAUCUGCCCCACUCAUGUGGUUGGAAUAUUUACAGUCACUCAUCAGCAGUAUGGGAUUCCGCCACAAGGAUGUAUGGAUCCCCUACUGCAGGUGACAUAAGAAAAGGGGAGUUCUUAAGUUUCACAGUCAGCUCCCACUAUGAUCUACCCUAGGGGUGGAGAAUCUGUGUGAACCUCCAGAUUGUUAGACUCCAACUCCCAUUGGCCCCAGCCAGCAUGGCCAAUGAUCAGGGAUGGAUAGUAGUUAUUAAGGCGGCAACAUCUGGAGGACCAGAGAUGGUCCCCAUCUAUGGUCUAUAUGAACUGGCAGAAACUCUCCAAAGUUUCAGACAGCAGUUGUUUCCAGCACCACUUGGAGAUGCCCAGAAUUGAAUCAGAACUUUUUGCAUGGGAAGAAUAUGCUCCAGUAAUGGAUCCAAAUGCAUAAAUAUUCUGUGUGUAAUUCUAAAAAUGCUUUAGGAUCAUAUAAUUGGAAGGGAUUGAACUUGCAACCAUAGCAUUAUCAGCACUGUGCUCUAAAUAACUGAGCUAUCCAGGCUGACUAAUCAAAAGUGAUUCUUGUUGAGGCCAAUGGGACUUAUUCCAAAGUCAGUGAGUGCUUAGGAUCAUACUUUACAGCCUACCCUAUCCUAUGUAUGCCAACUUGGAAGAAAUUGCAUCCAGUGGGGCUAGCAAGUAGAUAAGAAGGGACUCUGCCUAACACUGAGUCAGCCCAUUGGCCCAUCUAGCUCAAUAUUGUGCAUAAAGAGUGGCAGCAGCUCUCCAGGGUUUGGGGCAGGGAAUAUUCCCAACCCUACCUGGAGAUGAUCAGGACUGAACGAGGGACCUUCUAUAUGUUAGCAGAUGCUUUACUGUUGAGCUGCAGCCCUUCCCAACAUACGGUAAAUGUGUUUUCUGUAUGCGUUUCCUUGGUAUUAGGCCUGGGGUUCACUUCAGAAUAGACAUUGAUUGCCGUCGAUGCCAAAUUUGACACUUUUACCCUCUUUCCUUUCCAACACCCUUCAGUCGAAUAGCAUCCAUCACUGGAGAUAACGGGAUGAGAAAUUAAGAGAGCAUAAAUCAUUUCGCUAUAAAUACCAGUCUGCAAAAAAUGGUACUUUUCGCAAGGAAGCAGAUCAGAAAAAUUUGCUUGAGAAUUCCCUCCACUCCUAAGACCAUUAAGAAGAGUCUGCUAAAGUAGACCAGUGGUCCAUUUAAUCGAGCAUCCUCCUCUCAUGUGGCUAGCCAGAUACCUGUGGAAAGCCUGCAAGCAAGACAUGCUGAGUACAGCAGCACUCUCCCUUCCUGUGGUUUCUAGCAACUGGUAUUCAGAGUCAUUGUGUCUCUCACAGUGGAGGUAGAACAUAGCCAUUGUGACCAGUAGCUGUUGCCUAAAGGUAAAGGGACCCUUGACCGUUAGGUCCAGUCGCGGACGACUCUGGGGUUGCGGCACUCAUCUCGCUUUAUUGGCCGAGGGAGCUGGUGUACAGCUUCCGGGUUAUGUGGCUAGCAUGACUAAGCUGCUUCUGGUGAACCAUAGCAGCGCACGGAAAUGCCAUUUACCUUCCUGCCGGAGCGGUACCUAUUUAUCUACUUGCACUUUGAGGUGCUUUCGAACUGCUAGGUUGGCAGGAGCAGGGACCGAGCAACGGGAGCUCACCCCGUCGCGGGGAUUCGAACCACCGACCUUCUGAUCGGCAAGCUAGUGUGGUGUAGUGGUUAAGAGCGGUGGACUCGUAAUCUGGUGAACCGGGUUCGCUUCCCCGCUCCUCCACAUGCAGCUGCUGGGUGACCUUGGACUAGUCACACUUCUCUGAAGUCUCUCAGCCUCUCACUCACCUCACAGAGUGUUUGUUGUGGGGGAGGAAGGGAAAGGAGAUUGUUACCCGCUUUGAGGUUCCUUAGGGUAAUGAUAAAGCGGGAUAUCAAAUCCAAGUCCUAGGCUCUGUGAUUUAGAUCACAGUGCCACCAGUGUCCCUAGCCCUUAUUUCCGCUUCCCCAUACCUGCCUUUCUUUUCAGCUCUACCACAUGCCAGUGGCAUUAUUUGGAAAACCUGGAGCAAAAUGAAACUGGCCUGAAGGCAGAGGCAAAGUUAGGAGGGUGUACUUCAGAAGGCCAUCCUUAAAACCAAUUUUACGAACCAGCUCCCUCGGAGCAGAGCACAGCUGGGAUGCUGCGCCAUUUUGCAUACAAAGGACCCUCUCGUUCUCUGCGUGAACUAUCGCACAUCUCUUAAUAAAAAGGGGAAAGAAAAUUGCUCUUCGAUGGCCAUGAUGAGCCCUUGGAUGCAUAACAACUCCUUUAGCAACUACGAUAUUGCUAGACACAAAUCCUGCCAUAUUAUUAAGCAGUUCUAAGCACCCGAACAAUGUAAUGGUUCCUUCGAGACAUAUUAUAUAACACAAGGUAAAACAUUAUGGAAAAUUGUCUUUAAUUUAUUCAUAGUUUGGGGAAUCAGAAGGGAGCACUGAGGAAGUGGAGGGAACCGAUACAGAUUAUGCGGAAGAGCUGCACACUAUGUCAAAGGACGCCUUAUUUGCUCGCCGUGAUGCCUGCUCCAUAUGUCAAGACAUUAGUGGGAAAUAGGUAGCAGAAAGGAGCCGUAGCUCAUUGGAGGAGAACUUGCUUUGCAUGCAUAAGAGCAUAAGGAGAGCCCUGCUGGACCAGACCAAAGAACCCUCAAAUCCAGCAUCCUGUUUCUCAUACUGGCCAGUCAGAUGGCUUCAGAAAGUCCACAAGCAGGCCAUACAGGUGUUAGCCCUUUCCCACUUAUGCUCCCUAGCAAGUGGUAUUCAUCAGCAUGCCACCCGUGAACCUAGAGGUGGUGUCUCAGGUUCAGUCCUCGCAUCCAUCACAGGUUAACAACAAAAACUAAUGCUAUUCUAGACUGCAUUAACAGAAGUACAGUGUCCAGAUCAAGGGAAGUAAUAGUACCACUCUAUUCUGCCUUGGGACACGGGUGGUGCUGUGGGUUAAACCACAGAGCCUAGGACUUGCCAAGCAGAAGGUCGGCGGUUCGAAUCCCUGCGAUGGGGUGAGCUCCCGUUGCUCAGUCCCUGCUCCUGCCAACCUAGCAGUUCAAAAGCACCUCAAAGUGCAAGUAGAUAAAUAGGUACUGCUCCAGUGGGAAGGUAAACGGCAUUUCCGUGCGCUGCUAUGGUUCACCAGAAGCAGCUUAGUCAUGCUAGCCACAUAACCCGGAAGCCUCCCUCGGCCAAUAAAGCAAGAUGAGCACCUCAACCCCAGUCGGUCACGACUGGACCUAAUGGUCAGGGGUCCCUUUACCUUUACCUUUAUUCUGCCUUGGUCAGACCACACCUGGAGUACUGUGUCCAAUUCUGGAUGCCACAAUUUAAGAAGGUUGUUGACAAGUUGGAGCAUGUGCAGAGGAGGGCAACAAAAAUGUACAAGGGUUUGGGGGGGAAGCCUUAUGAGGAACAGUUGAAGGAGUUGGGUAUGUUUAGCCUGGAAAAGAGGAGACUCAGAGGACAUAUGAUAGCCAUCUUCGAAUAUCUCAAGGGCUGUCUUAUGGAAGAUGGAACAAACUUGUUUUCUCCUGCUCUGGAUGGAAGGACCCGAACCAAUGGAUUCAAGUUACAAGAAAGGGGAUUCCAACUAAACAUCAACUAAACUUUCUAAGGGUAAAAGCCGUUCAACAGCGGAACAGUCUGCCUCGUGAGGUUGUGGAUUCUCCUUUCUUGGAGGUUAUUAGCAGAAGUUGAGUGGCCAUCUGUCGUGGAUGCUUCAGCUGAGAUUCCUGCAUUGCAAGCAGUUCGACUAGAUGACCCUUGCGGUCCAUUCCAACUCUACAAUUCCAUGAUUCUGUUUUUCUAAGGGGUCCUGCCAAACCUCCCUCCAAACUGCUUGCUUAUAACUUCCCAGCCAUCUUCAAAAUGUCUGUUCAACUGGGACAAGGUGUGCUGACACGUGCAUGUAGAACAUGCAAUCUGUGCCCAAUCCCUGCAGCCGUAAGGUAUUUUAUUAUUCAAAUUGGAACACCAUGUCCACUUUCUGCCUCCACCACAGUGAUGGCUAUGUGAUAUUCUCACAAAUGUACUGCUCACAGGAUGACAGAUUUCCAAAAAUGCAAAAGAACAAUAUUUCCUAUCUUCUCCCUUCUUCUCACUGACAUGUUAAUUGACAUGCCAGAUAAUGAAGUCAUCAAAUUAUAAUAAUUUGGGGGGAAAUCUAUUAUUGACUCAUCGUGCUGCAUACUUUAUAUGAUCUCCCUAUGCUAAUUACUUGUACAGAUCCUGCGGCUAAAAAAAAUAAAUAGUGAUUCAGUUUUAUUUUAUUUUUAACAAGGGACUGUCCCUGCUUGCUCUGCUUACCAACCACCCUGCUAUUUCACCAUAUUAACUUCCUAGAGUUUCCCCUUUCCACCCCAUGCAACUACCGAUCUUGCUUUUCACCUUCUCAACCCCAUUUCUGAAGCCACUUCUCUCUUCUAUUCUGCAGCCCUGCUUUACAUCCUUGUUUUUACCUUCACCCCAUGUCCAUCCCUUCUCCCCCUCCUUUUGUGCAACCCCCCCAUGCACACAAAGCAGCCCCAAAGUAACCUCCUGCAUCUUGCUCCUCCCCCCCCCCCAGCAACUACAAAGCACCCUUUUCACCUUCUGCCCAGUUGUGAGGUCACCAUCCUCUCCUAUUCUGCAGACCCUCUCAUGACCCAGCUUUCAUCUUCAGCCCCAUCCCCAUGCUUCCUGCUCCCUCCCACCUUUGCACCCCCCCCCCCAAUUUUCCCCAUCGUUGCCGUUUUUCUUCUUCUCUCCUUGCUUUUUCAGCUUUCAUGGGCACACAGAUCACCUCCGUUUCCAUGCCUUACAAUACGAUAAUACAAUAUGAUAAUCUUUAUUGUCAUUGUCCCAUACAGAACAACGAAACUGAAAAAUCUACAUAAGACAUUCAAAAACCAACAAGCCUGCUAUCCCAGCUAUCCCAAGUUGGUUAGCCCCCUAAAAACUCUGAUACCCCAUAAUUAAAUACAAUAUACUCCCAUAGAGACUCCUUAAAGGUAAAGGUAAAGGGAUCCCUGACCAUUAGGUCCAGUCAUGACCGACUCUGGGGUUGCGGCGCUCAUCUCGCUUUAUUGGCCGAGGGAGCCGGCGUAUAGCUUCCUGGUCAUGUGGCCAGCAUGACAAAGCCACUUCUGGUGAACCAGAGCAGCACACUGAAACGCCGUUUACCUUCCCGCCGGAGCGGUACCUAUUUAUCUACUUGCACUUUGACGUGCUUUCAAACUGCUAGGUUGGCAGGAGCAGGGUCCGAGCAACGGGAGCUCACCCCGUUGUGGGGAUUCGAACUAUCAACCUUCUGAUUGGCAAGUCCGAGGCUCUGUGGUUUAACCCACAGCACCCCCCGCAUCCCUUAGAGACUCCUUACACUGCGUUUAAAACCAAAAUCACAUUUGGAUAGAAACUGUUUCUCAGGCGGCUAGUCCUAGUCUUUAUAACCCUGUACCUUCUUCCAGAAGGCAGAAGCUGAAAGAGAUCAUUUCCUGGGUGCGUACUAUCCUGCGCUAUCUCUGCAGCUUUCUUAUGGCACCUGGAAGCAUAGAUUUGAUCCAAGGUGGGAAGAGUGCACACCCAGUGCUUUUUUUCUGGGGGGACGCAUACCCCUAAACAUUUUGUGAAUCUAAGUUUGGCCUCAUUGAGGGGCAGUAUUUCAAUAUGCGUAGGAAAUUUGAGUACCCCUAAACAUUUUUUUAAAGAAAAAAAGCACUGCUUACUCCUAUUGUGCAGCCUCCCUUUUUACACAUUUUGUGCGCACACACACACACAGACACACACACAAUUAUCAUCUUCACCCUUUUCCCUGCCUCCUCCUUCCUCCGUUUUCAACUUUCCCUUACAGACAGACAACCCUGAUUCUGAUCACCGGGUCUCCUCCUCUCUGCCAUUUUCCACUUCCCUUUGUGCACACCCUAUGCUGGUCAAUGUUACAGUAUCUUUUUGAAUCUUUAAGACCAAUCCUGUCAGUUAUCGUUUUCAGUUUGAGAAAGUGAUGUUCGUGCGAUGGAUGUUGGUAUGUAUAUGAGUGUUUGCUUGUUAAUAAAAUAUCUCUUCUAAACUACUACACUGAAUCUGGAACUUCAUGUGGUAAACUGCAGAGUGAAAUGCAUUGUGAGAAGGUGCAAAUAAUAAAAUUAUUAUUAUUAUUAUUAUUAUUAUUAUUAUUAUUGAUGCAGAGCCCUCAGAUGUUGCAUUGUAGUGAGGUAUUUUACUGAAACUUCUGCCAUUGUUUAAAAUUGCCAUUUCCCUCUCAAUUUCCUCCAUCCCUGCUUUGCUCAAAGUUCAGCUGUUAUUUUAAACCACUACUUGCCCCCUCUCAGUGUUCCAUCCUUCUCACGCUUAUGCCAUGGCCACUGUUGUCGUGCAAUCUGCCUUCUCUUCUGCUGCCCUACCCAGCCCCGACUUCACGAAAAUUGAGAGCUGUGAUGCAGCACUGCAAAUCCUCCUUACAUUUUUAAGCAAAUAAGAAGAAAAGCUGUCUCCAACCACAGACCUGAGUACAUACCCUAAUAAAUUUAAUGAGCUAUAAGAAUGUCAUUUUAGCCACCAAAGUCCAACUGGAAGAUGUUAGAAAAACCGAAUUCUUCUUCUUCUUCUUUGCCACUUGGCUGAAGUGACAUUUUCAGGAAUGUUGUUAGCAAGAAUCCUGUGUGUCGUGAUUUUAUUAUAACCAAGAAGGACCAAUAAUGUAACACAGAAGUGGAGACAGGAAGAGGACAGUGUGAUAAUAAUGAAAUAUUUUCUCCUCGUGGUGGACAGACUAAAAGCUCAUGUCCUGCUUAUAAAUGUCAGUAUUUCUUCCUGCACUUUAACAGUCUCUCUCUCUCUCUCUCCUUCCCUCCCUCCCUCCACCCCCACCCCAAUAGCUGGUAGGUUAUAAGCAAUACAUUUUACUAUAUGAAAAAAGGUUUGACAUGGCUGUCAUCCCGUUGAGCUGACCUAUGGAUGCUAUUGAUCCAUUCGCUCAUUUCAAUUUCUAAUCCACCCAAUCACAAAAUGCCUGGAGCAAGUGGGGAACACGUAAAGCAAUGAGCCAAUAAAUAAACCAGUUGAUAAAAAAAAUACCCCAUUACAGUACAAAAUACUGUCCACUGACAAAAUGCACUAUUUGAUUAUCUCAAGAGUAGCCUAUGCGAAGUCCUCUAAGUGAUGUAGACUACAACUCCCAUCAUUCCUGGUCAUUGAGGUCCAGCACCGAGAGCCUUCUGGCGGUUCCCUCACUGCGAGAAGCCAAGUUACAGGGAACCAGGCAGAGGGCCUUCUUGGUGGUGGCGCCUGCCCUGUGGAACACCCUCCCACCAGAUGUCAAAGAGAACAACAACUACCAGGCUUUUAGAAGACAUCUGAAGGCAGCCCUGUUUCGGGAAGCUUUUAAUGUUUGAUGUAUUAUAGUAUUUUAAUAUUCUUUUGGAAGCCGCCCAGAGUGGCCGGGGAAGCCCAGCCAGAUGGGCGGGGUAUAAAUAAUAAAUUAUUAUUAUUAUUAUUAUUAUUAUUAUUAGGCAUGCUGGAUGGGAUGGAUGGGAGUUGUAGUCCACACAUGUUCUGAAGGAUCCCAUGUUGGCUACCCUUGCACCAGGCCAAGCUGCUGACUGAGUGCAAUGAGCACAUCGCCUUUCAUGGGACCAAAAUCCCGAUGCAGCAAGAAGCAGAAAGCACUCCUGCAGAAAGAUCUGUUCUCCUAUAUACUAUACAUUUUAGAAAGUGUUCUAUUUGUCCAUCUGUUUGCUAUAGGUGUGGCUACCUCUCAAUGUACUGUCACCAAACUUGGCAUGAAGGUUCCCACAGUCUUCAUUGAUGUUCAGAUGGCAGGCACCAUAUUGAUUCAAGAUGAUGGACCAAAAUAUGACAUUGGCAUGAUUUCACCUUUUAUUUUUAUUUUUCCUUUUCUUUUUCCUUUUCUUUUUUGCAUAGGUGACGAUGUCUCUUGAAAUACUGAAGUGGGAGUGGCAAUUUACAUCAAUGUUUGAGUGCAAUUUUGAGUCAAGAUGGCAGGACAAAAUGUGGCUUUGGUGUGAAUUUGCCCAAUUUUUGGCAUGAUGGGGCAAAUUCGCAAAUUGCACUACCCAUUUGAAAAACACAAUAAUUUUUGGUUUCUACAAAUUCCCAGGCAGUGCCAGGCAGCCUCCGCUACUUCACCAUACUGGGGAAUCUAGAAAUGGCUCUAACGUGUCCUUCUUUUGACCAAAGUGGAUGGAAUUUACAGGCACAGUAGCCCCUCCAAGUUGGAUUAAGCGUGUAAAGUUGCAAACAAAUAGGUCCAAGGGCAAUUGUGGUGGAAGCAAAAGGAAUUCACUUUCCUCCAUAGUUCAUGAAGGGAGGGGGGGUGGAAGAGAAGAAGUCUGUCUCUUUCUUAUGCUUAGGAGAUGAGCAAGCAGUGUGUAGUCCUACUUGUACAUUAAAAAAAACUUUGCGGCUUCACAACAGCCCUUCCUUUCCAGUGCUUCUGUCCUCCAGUAGACAUUAUAGGCUUGAAAAGGUCUUACACUUCUUCAAUGGACUUUAUAACAUUGGGCUUUCCAAAACACUGUCUGUGGAGUUCUGAAAAGCUCUGAAUUGUUGUUUUCCAUAAAGCAGAGCAUCACCGUUUGUUUGUUUGUUUGUUUGUUUGUUUGUUUGUUUGUUUGUUAAAAAGAAAGCUUAAAUGAAGCUUUUAACUUUCAGAACUGCAAGCAUUCCACAUCUGGCAGAACACUGAUUGGAUUACAGGCCCAGUGCAUUAUGGGAAACUCCUUGCUAAACCUGGUUCCCUCUGCUAGGCCUAAGGCAUCCCAAAAUAGAGGAGAGUCCCUACUACAUAGAUUGACAAGAUAGCAAGACGAGAGAACCCCUUCCUGCUGCAAAAGUUGGGAGUCUGGAGGGACGGGAUUAUUAAAAUGUAUUUGAAAGAAA
Podarcis lilfordi (Lilford's wall lizard) is the source of this 20385-nucleotide non-coding RNA. The record is from the annotation of a GenBank genome assembly. Lineage: Eukaryota; Metazoa; Chordata; Lepidosauria; Squamata; Lacertidae.